GACGAACGCUGGCGGCGUGCCUAAUACAUGCAAGUCGAGCGAAGAUUUUCUGGUGCUUGCACUAGAAAAAUUUAGCGGCGCACGGGUGAGUAACACGUAAAGAACCUGUCUCAUAGACUGGGACCACUAUUGGAAACGAUAGCUAAUACCGGAUAACAGUAUUUCUCGCAUGAGAGAAAUUUAAAAGUUGGUUAUGCUCACACUAUGAGAUGGCCUUGCGGUGCAUUAGCUAGUUGGUGGGGUAAAGGCCCACCAAGGCAACGAUGCAUAGCCGACCUGAGAGGGUGAUCGGCCACACUGGGACUGAGACACGGCCCAGACUCCUACGGGAGGCAGCAGUAGGGAAUCUUCCGCAAUGGGCGAAAGCCUGACGGAGCAACGCCGCGUGAGUGAAGAAGGACUUCGGUUCGUAAAGCUCUGUUGUUAGGGAAGAAUGGAUGUGUAGUAACCAUACAUGUAAGAGACGGUACCUAACCAGAAAGCCACGGCUAACUACGUG
This 499-nucleotide ribosomal RNA is filed under the name uncultured bacterium. RNAcentral describes it as "partial 16S ribosomal RNA". It matches the Rfam family "Bacterial small subunit ribosomal RNA", at positions 28 to 507 of the family's 1533-position model. The record is from RNAcentral.